Molecule: ribosomal RNA, 253 nt
Filed under: uncultured bacterium
Lineage: Bacteria
Description: partial 16S ribosomal RNA
Rfam family: Bacterial small subunit ribosomal RNA
Source: RNAcentral
UACGUAGGGGGCAAGCGUUGUCCGGAUUUAUUGGGCGUAAAGCGCACGCAGGCGGUCAUGUCAGUUUCGAGUGACAGGUGGUGGCUUAACUACCACAGGCCUUGAAAGACGGCAUGACUUGAGGGCUUGAGAGGGACGCGGAAUUCCAGGUGGAGCGGUGAAAUGCGUAGAGAUCUGGAAGAACACCAAAGGCGAAGGCAGCGUCCUGGCAAGUUCCUAACGCUCAGGUGCGAAAGCUAGGGGAGCGAACGGG